RNAcentral lists this ribosomal RNA (639 nucleotides) under Pedobacter sp. Ri1Ps_4783. Its description in RNAcentral is "bacterial SSU rRNA". It matches the Rfam family "Bacterial small subunit ribosomal RNA", at positions 377 to 1017 of the family's 1533-position model. The record is from RNAcentral. Lineage: Bacteria; Pseudomonadati; Bacteroidota; Sphingobacteriia; Sphingobacteriales; Sphingobacteriaceae.
GGCACUCUGACCAGCCAUGCCGCGUGCAGGAAGACAGCCCUCUGGGUCGUAAACUGCUUUUAUUCGGGAAUAAACCUCAGUACGUGUACUGAGCUGAAUGUACCGAAGGAAUAAGGAUCGGCUAACUCCGUGCCAGCAGCCGCGGUAAUACGGAGGAUCCAAGCGUUAUCCGGAUUUAUUGGGUUUAAAGGGUGCGUAGGCGGCUUAUUAAGUCAGGGGUGAAAGACGGUGGCUCAACCAUCGCAGUGCCCUUGAUACUGAUGAGCUUGAAUACACUAGAGGUAGGCGGAAUGUGACAAGUAGCGGUGAAAUGCAUAGAUAUGUCACAGAACACCGAUUGCGAAGGCAGCUUACUAUGGUGUCAUUGACGCUGAGGCACGAAAGCGUGGGGAUCAAACAGGAUUAGAUACCCUGGUAGUCCACGCCCUAAACGAUGAAUACUCGCUGUUAGCGAUAUACAGUUAGCGGCUAAGCGAAAGCGUUAAGUAUUCCACCUGGGGAGUACGCCCGCAAGGGUGAAACUCAAAGGAAUUGACGGGGGCCCGCACAAGCGGAGGAGCAUGUGGUUUAAUUCGAUGAUACGCGAGGAACCUUACCCGGGCUUGAAAGUUAGUGAAUUAUCUAGAGAUAGAUAAGUGA